Equus asinus (donkey) is the source of this 10211-nucleotide long non-coding RNA. Lineage: Eukaryota; Metazoa; Chordata; Mammalia; Perissodactyla; Equidae. The record is from Ensembl.
GUCUUGCAUAUCUACACCCAAGCUUUUAAAACUAAACAAUUUAUGUAAAUCUUAUAAAGAUACUGUAUAAUACUAUGUAUGUUAGAUCCAUGUCUCUUUUCAAUUUGAGGAUUUUAUAUGGAAAGUCAUGGGAUACAUGUACUUUUGAAUAACCACCUUCCCAGAGCCAUACAGUUAUUUGACAAUAAUUUGGUAUUUCUGCCUUUUGUUAUUUAGGACCAACGAUGCUUAAAAAAGGUAUUUUUAGGGGCCAGCCCUGUGGCGCAGUGGUUAAGUUCACACGUUUCAGUUCAGUGGUCCAGGGUUUGCUGGUUCAGAUCCUGGGUGUGGACCUACACAAUGCUUGUCAAGCCAUGCUGUGGCAGGUGUCCCACAUGAAAUAGAGGAAGAUGGGCACAGAUGUUGGCUCAGGGCCAAUCUUCCUCAGCAAAAAGAGGAGGAUUGGCAGCAGAUGUUAGCUCAGGGCUAAUCUUCCUCAAAAAAAAGAAAGAAAAAAGGUAUUUUUAUUUAGGAAGUUUGUUAUCUAUUGGUGAUAAUUGUUAAUAAUACUUUGAACAUUUCUAUGUAGUGCUAUACUUUGCCAAUGCUGCCAUCUUCUGGACGCCAUUAAGCACUGUAACAAUCAGAGAAGCUGACAGUGCAUAGUGGUUUCCAAAAGUAAUGCGUAUUAGUGUUAAAAAAAGCUUUCAUUUUCUUUCUUUUUUCUUUUUUUAGUUUGAAAAAAGCCUGGAUAUAUAUAUUUUUUCGAUUUCCCUCAUAAAAUACUUGACUAUCUCCUUACUUUCCUAACCAUGUACUGCUGAAGUCAGAAUGGUAUAGGGUGUAAAAUGGAUAUGCUAAACGUCUUAAUUUUGCCCCUCUGGAUCUGUUAUCCACGCUUUCUACUCUGCUUUGUGUCCUGGGAGGCAGAGGCUGACCUAUAUGGACUAUAGCAACAAGAUUCCUUGACUUUCAACUUCUAAUUGGAUCUGGACAAUAAGAAGCAUUCAAAGGAAAUCAAAGGGGGAGAAGGGAGUAGAGCUGGGUCCCUCAUAUGAGAUCACAGGGCUCUGUCCCUUAACUGAAGGUCAUAUCUCCCAGCAAGGGGCCUUACCAAAAUAGGUCAGUCUGCCUUAGGGAAUUAGUAGUCACUUCCUCCUUGUAUUCUUCAGGGCUGUUCUGAAACCUAGACACUUCACAUCCCCUGUGGCUCCCUACAUUCUGCUCAUACCUUUGUAAAUGAUCCUUUCAUUAAAUAUUCCUUAAAUCACCCAGCUUGAGUAUAUUUCCUGUUGGGACACUGACCAAAACAGUGGGAAUAAUAAUAGCAGUUAACCCAGAGGUGUGUUAUAAGGGUUAAAUAAACUAAGACCUGGCUAGAGCUUAAAUAAUGGCUGAGAAAAGAGAUAAAGAUGAAGGCAGUGGGACAGAAAAUGAUAAUGAUGGAGGAAAAAGAUGCUGCAAUACUAAGAUAAUUGCUAUCCUUCAGUGGUUAGAAGCCCCCCAAAAUGGAAUACUUAUAUUGAAAUAUCUUUAUAGAAAAGAUUCAGAGAUAUACAAGAAAAAAGAUUUCCUGCUAUAAAGGUGUAGCUGAAUCGGCAGAUCAAAAGUUCACAAUGUACAAGAAAAACAGCUUUAGGAUGAUCAACAAUAAGACAUGAGAAAAAGAAAGAAUUCUUUAAGCAACCAGCUCCCCCUAAAAAAAAGUCCCCUAUGAGGAGGAAAAAUAAAAGAUUGGUUCAUACUAAUAUUUAAUUCCAGAAGACAUUAAGGUCUACAAAAUUCUAAGGGAAAGAUGACACAAGAUUAUAACCAAAUACAGCUUUCCUUAGUGUCAAGGAAUUCCUUGAUUAAAAGAUGUCUAUUUUUGGAAUAUUGUAUUUCACAAUAGGCAUUCCUAAGGGAGUCUUAAUUUUAUCUGUGGUCAUCAGUGUAUAUUGUACCAUGAUGGUAAAAGCUUAUCUAUUAAACAAAUUAUGAACAUGUUUUUAGAAAAUACCUGGUAAAAUGACACAAUGCUUGUAAUUUGUAAACUAAACCAUGUAUUUGAAGUCAUGCACCCCCUUUUUUCAAUCGUCAGAGACAUGUACCAUUUGUCAGGGACGUCAUCCUUGGUUGUGAUAAAAAGACUCAAAAGUUUACACGGUGUAUUUUUACCCUUUCUUGUUUAUGCUCAUAUAUCUCCAUUAUAUAAUAUGUUAAUAUGGGCUCAAAUAAAUAGGAUUCCAUACACAAAAUUAUAGCCAGCUGUUAUGGGCUGAAUUGUGCCCUCCCUCACUCAAAUUCAUGUGUUAAAGUCCUGGUCCCAGUACUUCAGAAUAUGACUGUGUUUGGUGAUGGGGUCUUUAUAGGGGUAAUUAAGUUAAAAUGAAGUUAUUAGGGUGCAUCCUAGUCCAAUAUGACUGUGUCCUUAUAAGAAGAGGGAAUUUGGACACUGAUCUGUACGGAGGGAAGAUGUGUGAAGAUAAAGGCCAUGAAGUAGGACUAGGUGUUCUGAAAAUCUGCCACCACCUGUUCAAGCAAAUAGUUUAUGCUCAGUACAUUUUUGAGACUGAUAUUAUAUAUACUGUGAUGGCCGUUGUGUCUGCUCAACACAAUAUUUGUGACGAGCAGCUCAGUUCCUUUGGUCAUGUGAGGCUGAUGAUUAGGCAUUUAAUCUUUACCAAGGCUCGGUAGAACUCCAGGACACAUUUCUUCAGAGAUGUUAGCUGCAGGAGGAAACAUGGCUCUUCCCCACUACUUUAGAUGGCUACACUGUAAUUCUCCUAUUGCCACUUUCCAGCGUUCGAUCUGAAUAAUACUCAAGCUGCUGCAAAAGCUGGGUAUCAUUGGCUCUGCUCAGCCAUAAGGCCUAAGUGGCAGAACAGCUUCCUUCAUUACAUCCAGGACCUGUUGCAGAGUUUUUUGUUGCUUGCGGGCCCCUUCAAACUGGCAGCACACUCAAAUAUGUAUUUAUCACCCUCAAAAUCAAGAGAGACCCAAAAAGUAUAUCCCUUUUCUCCUUGAGAAGUGCUUUGUUCAGCAACUUGUCCCUUAUUUUGGAGGAGCUGUCCUACAUGACCCAGACCACUCAAUCCCUAGAAACUUCUCUUAGGUGGCAGGACCGUGAUUUUAGUGGGGUUUAUCUCCCAUCCGAUGCCACCUACAUGUGUCACUCUGGUAAAUAGGAUGCUUAUUAUUUCUUGGGUAUCAGGUUGACUCAGCAUGAUGUCAUCCAUGUUGUAGACUGGCAAGAUGUUCUGUGGUAUUUCAAGAUAAUCGGAAUCUCUGUGAACCAGACCAGAGAUUGAUAUUUUCUGUAAAGAGCCAAAAUAGUGGAUAUUUUAGGCUUUGUGAGCCAUACGAUCUCUGUUGCAACUGUUCACCUCUGUGGUUGUAGCAUGAAAACAGCUGUAGGUGAUACAUAGAUACCACAUGAAUGUGAGUGUGUGUCAAUAACACUUUGUUAAUAAACGCUGAAAUUUGAAUUUCAUAUAAUUUUCAUGUGUCAUGAAAUAUUAUUCAUUUUUGGAUUUUUGUCAACCAUUUAAAAAUGUAAAAAUCAUUCUUAGCUUGUGGGCCAUACGAAAAUAAAUGGCGGGCUGGAUUUGGCCUAUAGGUUGCCACUUGCUGACAGCUGGAUUGAAUUAUGGCAGAGAGCAAGAAAAUUGCCAUAGACAACUGCGGCAAACCAUGAAAGCAUAUUGCUGACCCUACCAGGUGAAAGCAAACUGCUCGUGCUUACCUUUAUACUUUGUCAUACUGAAAUAAGCAAAGGAUGUGUCAAUAACUUCAUACUAGAUGGGAGGGGCUAUAUUAAUUCAUUCCAUGAAAGAAGCCAAAUCUGAAAUAGUAGCUGUGGUUGAAGUCACCACCUAAUUAAUUUUAUGAUAAUCCAUAGUCAUUCUCUAAGAUACUUCAGUCUUCUGAAUAUGCCAUAAAGGCAAGUUAAAUAGUAAUAUAAUAGGAGUCAUUAUCCUAGAACCUCUCAGAUUUUUGAUAGUAGCACAACUCUCUGACAUUCCCCCAGGAGUUUCAGAAUGUAAUUAAAAAACAGUUAGUUAGAAAUAUUUAUGUAUAGCAUAAUAAUAAUUAAAAAAUAUAUGUUUAUAUGUGUAUAAAAUAUAUACAAAUAUGUGUUACAAUGUUGAAUUGGUUAUUACCUGGUUGUGUGAUUAUGGGUAAUUUUUUUUUCUUAAAGAUUGGCACCUGGGCUAACAACUGUUACCAAUCUUCCUUUUUCUUUUUCAAAGAUUGGCACCUGGGCUAACAACUGUUGCCAAUCUUUUUUUUUUUUCCCCUGCUUUAUCUCCCCAAACCCCGCCUGUACACAGUUGUAUAUCUUAGUUGCACAUCCUUCUAGUUGUGGGAUGUGGGACACCACCUCAACGUGGCCUGAUGAGUGGUGCCAUGUCUGCACCCAGGAUCCGAACCCUGGGCCGCCGCAGCGGAGCGCAUGAACUUAACCACUCGGCCACGGAGCUAGCCCCUGGGUAAUUUUUUUACUUUUGUGCUUUUUAAUAUUUUCCAUUACUUAUAGUAAAAAUGUAUUCCCUUACAGUCAGAAAAGACUCUAAUUUAUUUUUGUAAGAAUCACUGUUAAAGUCAAUACUAAAUUUAUCUGGAUGAGGUAUAUGAAAUAAUCCUGAGAAUAGUUGAUACCAGCGCUAACCUCAGCAGAUGUAAAUAUUUGAGUCAUAAUCACUGUACCAAUUUCAAUUAGCUCAUUAUUGUUAUUUUAUGAUUUAAUUAAAUGUUUGAAGUAACAUACAUCCAGUCUUUAUUAUUAUGCAUAUAUUUUCAAAGAGAAUUCUAAAAGCUCUGGCUUCCAAGUGAAAGAGUAUUAAUGAAUGGAGCCUAUUUAUAAAUGCUUCUUAAACUAUGUUAAUGAUGUGUGAAAUAUGGGGCACUAAACUAACUAGGCAAUUCAGUGAUGCCGUCGUCAGCCACGGUGCUGCACGUGAAGACGGUUUGUCCCUGUCGUGCUGUGGUGAGGCAGAGGGUGUGUGAAUGCUCGGUCACCACUGCACACCUAGACUCCUAGUGCCCCUCUUAGCACUGCCACUAUUAAUUAGAGAACGAGGAAAAAAGAUUAUGACUGUUUGUUUGUCUUCUUGAUAUUUUCCUUGAGUUUUCUCUAUCUUCUGAGGCUUUAAAAUUCUAGGCUUGGAAAUCAUAGCUCAUUCCUGGGGUCCUAGUGAUUUUACUGCCACUCAGCAUAAUGAAGAGAAAGACUUUCAACAAGUGCUUUCUUCAAGAGGGCCUUUCUAGGCUUUUCUCACCUGGGUGUGUUGACUGGUGCUCAUAGUGAGGAUGAAAGCAAGGUAUUGUCGGAGAAGGUAAGUUCAGGGAAAGGCUUUGACCUCCUGAAAAUGAGAGGGUCUUAGACACUUAGACAAGUUAUCUGAUGUGAGAAAACCCUUCCAUAGCCCUUAUGUUUGGGGGAGAAAGUGUGUAGAAACAGCAAGGGAGCACUCGGCUGGCAGUUUCAGUUUUUCAAUGUUCAGAAGGUGUGAUGAGUUAUAUGCUCUCUAGGGCCUUGGAGCGCCUCUUCCUCUCUGGCGCCCUGGCUUACGUCUCUCUAACACUAAGCACGCUGGGUUCUAAUUACUGACAUCCUGGGUGGCACUUGUGCCUCGCCCUGCCUGCCUGCUCACCAAACUGUGAGCUGCUUGAGGUCAGGACCAUGUCAUAUUCUACUUUGUAUCCCCAGCAUCCAGUAACUGGCAUGCGCAGGGCACGUGAAAACACAACCUGCAUGAAUGAACUAUUGGGAAAGACUGGUCUGCGGGGACUCUAGCUGUAGGCUCAUCUUCCUCAGUAGUGGGUGUAAGGGGGAUAAGAGGAAGACAGGAAGCAAAUAUGUUUUGAGCUCCUACAUUUAGCCAUUGCAUAUUUUUACUUAAUGCCUUUAAGAUGUGACAUAGGUAUAAUUAUGGCAAUUUUACAGCACGUAGAGUGUGUAAUUUGCCUCAACAAGUGACCAACUCUGAAUAUGAACCCCAGGUUUCUCUCAACUUUAUAACCCAGGUUUCUUUCACUCUAAUAUGCCUUUAGUGACAGUAAUUGGUAGCAUGGUCUCUAUAGAAUAAGAUUAUUGCUACAGACUUAGGAAAAUAGACCCUAGGAGUAUUUGGAGUGGAAGGAGCUUUUUUGAGAUCCUAGCUGUGCAAAGCUUACUUCAGCAGAGUCCUUAUUUCUAGUAUUCCUGCAAACGGCUUCUGAAAGAGGGUUGGUAUAGGGGAGGGAGCGGGUGGCAGGAUAUGUGUAUUGUACCAUUAAGGCCUGGAAAAAUUUGUUCCUUUCAUCUUUCCCCAGUAUGCCUCCUCCUCCAUGAUUCCCCCCUGAUUCCACCUUUCCAUUCUUGUAGUACUCAGUUUGUACCACUCACAAAGCAUUGUCAUACUGCCUUCUAUUGUAAAUGUUUAUGUAUCUGACUUGACUCAAUGUUUAUGUAUCUGACUUGACUCUGGUUCUGUAUUUUCGGUACUUUUGUCUCUGGUUCUAACACAGUGUAGCAAGUAGAUGGUCAAUAAAUGCUUGCCUUUCUCUUUCAAAUUUAUGCUGAAAUCUUUUUAAACUAUUAAGGUAUUUCCCUUUCCUCCAAAUAGAGAGGAACUGCAUGAAGGCGAUCUCGAAGGAUCCACUGAUAUUGUGUGGGAACACAGUGGCCGUGGUGAUGUGUUGCCUAGAUCCUGCUUCAGUGAAGGACUGGUUGUCCCAGCUGCUGGGAGUGGUGUCAGCGGACGGCUUCGGCUGGCACUGUCUUCAGGGAUGGCUUCAGCUGUAAAGAGCUGCCUCAGCCAAGGUCACGCCUGUCCCGGGGCAGCCGACCUCCAGUGACUGGUCGAGGUUGGGGUAUAAAGGCCUGGCCUUUUUAAUCCAAUGUGGGACAGCUCUGAUGGGCCAUUUUCACUUCCAUUCAAGAAACUGUGCUGGGAUUUUUAAUUUAAUUUUUCUGUCUUUUUAAAGUGGAUGCAAUUCAUUAAAAAUUUAUGAAUAAUUAUUACUGAGCCAUAAAGUAUUUCUGAUCCAUUACCUCACUUGAAUAGAAGUGGGUUAAGAAUCAUUUUCUUUAGGAAACCCCAUUUAGAUAAUGUUUCCUUUUUUUUCUGCCCCCUCCCUAUGUGAUGUCAAAAGUUUGUAUAUUACAAAAGUUUAUUGAUCAGGAUGCUAAGCACUUGACGCUUCUAUUUUUUAAAAAUUGGAUUCAUAUAAUAUGUACUGAGGGUACAUGAUAGAAUAGAAAGCAUGUGAGCAUUAGAGUCAGACUGAGAAUUAAUGCCCCAGCAAAUAUAUGUAAAACACUUAGUACACGGCGAAUACUUAGUGAUAGUUUAAUUUUCUUUUUUAUAUUGUGUGUUACUAAUUCUGCUGGCACCUUCACAAUGUUAUCUCAUCUCCUUGCAUCCAUUCUUCCCAGCAACAUCUCGUCGUCUCCCCAACCAUUAAUUCCAAACUAUAGUCAAAAUGAUCUUUAAAAAAUGAAAAUCUGAUUGGUCUCUUCUCUGCUUAAAAUCCUAAGACUUCUUAUUGCUCUUAAGAUAUAGACCAAAAUUCUUCCAUCGGCCUUUAAGAACCUGAAUGUUCUGGCCCUGUUCACCUCUCUGGGUUCAUCUCUUAUAAGCCUGCUUUCCUUCAUUCUCUCCACUACAGCCCCUUUCACCUUCUUCUAGUUCCUCAUGUGUUUGUCGUGUCUCUGCUGUUCCCACCGCCUGGAAUGUUCCAUUCCUGCCCAUCUCUUCCCCUUGGUUAGUUAGCUCUUUCUCAUCCUUUAGAUCUCAGCCCAGGAGAGUCUUCUCUGACCUGCCACCCCUCCCCUCAGUUUAAAUCAUUGGUAUAUACUCCUGUACGACUAUGUUCCCUCACUUCGGGGCACUUAUCUAGAUUUGUAACUCAGCAUCAGUGUCAUCAAUUAAUUGGUUUCUGUCUUUCCCACAGGACUGAGUUCCCUGAAAGCAGGAAGCUUGUUACUGAAUUCUUAUAGCCUAGUUCAGUGAUUAGAUCGUAGUAGGUAGCCAGUAAAUAUUACACGGUUUAAUCAGCAAAAAACAGAGCAAGGUGUGUGAAUGUGGAUGUAUAUUGUUUCUAUUAUUAUUAUUUUUUAAUAAAGGAGGAAACUGAAGCUCAUUUAAACCCAGUCAUACCACUUGUAGGUCCAGAGUACCUUACAAUUUUUAAAAAGCACAUUUGUUUUUAUGAAUAUUUAAGUACAUUUCCUUUUCUCUUUGUAUUAUCCUUGUAUUAAAACAUUCUGAUUGUUUUUGGGGCCGGCCGGUGGUGCAGCAGUUAAGUUGCUGCUCUCCACUUCGGAUGCCUGGCAUGGACCUAGCACUGCUGUCAAGCCAUGCUCUGGCAGGUGUCCCACAUAUAAAGUAGAGGGAGAUGGGCGCAGAUGUUAGCUCAGAGCCAAUCUUCCUCAAAAAAAAAAAGUGUAAAAAAAUAUAUAUUCUUAUUGUUUUCGAUCUGUCUCACUUUAUUCUCAAUUACUUGGAACUGAUAAGACUCUAAUAUUCCUCUAAAAUUCACUUAUGCCUUCUGCCUUGUGAAUGACAAAGCACUGCAAUGACCCUGAAAUAUAAUAUAAUAAUGAAAGUCUAGCCUGUUGAGUGUUGCCCUGGGAAUGUAAACUGAUCCCAAAUUGAUACUCAAGUCAAUUCAUCAAGCAUUUGAACUACACCAGAUAGUGCAUGCUAACAGUGUGAUUUAUGGCAGGAGCCUUGAUCCACGCUGAAUCAGUUUGACUUCUGGAGGGACCGGAGACUGAAUAAAGGCAGUCACGUGGGUGCUCUAUGCUGCUGUGACCAAUCUCUAAUAGAAACCAUGGACGCCAAGGCUGAGGAGAAGACAACCACACCCUCACUUCUGGAGGUAGAUCGUCAUUAGUUUAAGCCAAUCAACAGAUGACAUUCCUCUGGCUACAAUUGGUCCAGGGACUUAAAAAGGAAGCCUAUACUCCCAAUUGCCCUUGGCAGUCAUCUUUCAACUACAAGGGGAACCAGCCAUAGGAUGAACCCUAUGCCAAGAGGAACAGACACCUGAGACCUUGAUUAUGUCGUUGAGCUCCACCUGGAGCCUACAUUAGGAGGACUUCCUGUUAUAUAGAGUGUUAUGGACUGAACUGUGUUCACUCCAAAUUUGUAGGUUGAAGUCCUGAUCCCUAGUACUUUAGAAUGUCACUGUAUUUGGAGAUAAUGAAGGUUAAAUGAAGUCCUAAGGGUGGGCCCUAAUCCAAUAUGACUUCUGUCCUUGUAAGAAGAAAGAGAGACACUAGGGAUACAUGAGCACAGAUGAAAGGCCACGUGAGGACGCAGCAAGAAGAUGACCAUCUGCAAGCCCAGGAGAGAGGCCUCAGGAGAAACCAGCCCUGCUGACACCUUGAUCUUGGACUUCCAGCCUCCAGAGCUGAGUUGAUUCUAAGAGUAAUCCCCGAUAAAGCUCCCGCAGGCAAAUCUCUGCCUCAGAAUUUGGUUCAUGGUGAAUUCAUCCCGCAACAACUGGUGCCUGAGUGUCUGAGAUAGCAGACUCUAAGAGGGGACUUUGGAAAUGGAUCACUCAUGGGCCAAGUAUCAAUGGGAGCCCCGUCCAUGUUGGUAGAAAUAGCAAAUAGUCCAUGGCAUGCUGUAGCAGGACAAUGUUUAAAACUUUCACCAAUGGUGAACUUGGAUCUUAUAUCAGCGGAAGGAAUGCACUGAUGGAUUCAAAGUAACACUCAUUUGAGAAUGACAGAGGAAAUAAUAAAUACAAGGACAAUGAAAUUGGUUGGUUAUUUCUGAGGGCCAUGGAAUCUCUGAAGAAAGAUAAUGAAAGGGUGAUUAGUUAUCAAUUAAAGGCUAAGUACGAAAGCCAGAGGGCCUCCUUGGUAGCAUAAAAGAGACUCAUCUUCUGCAGCUGUAGGUCCCCAAAAAGCUGAGGGUGACAAGAGUAGCAGAGCUCCAGAGAGAAUUAAAUUCUCAACCACAGCAAGUCUGCUCUGCUCAAGUCAGGGCUCUGACUGGGGAGGAGCAGGCUCCUGAGAUAGGGGAUGGAGACGUCUGGCUUGAUGCACUUGACAGUAUUAAAUCCUCAGAUUCCUCUCCAGACGUGGCUCACUCUGUUAAAGGCUAAUUCUCUCCCUUCAGGGAAGUAGACAGUUCUCUCCCUAAAUAAGCAAGUAGACAAUGACUGUUGAUGUCACCCAGGCUCUGUCAUCAGUCACCCCAGUGCUGGGUACUGCGUACAGGAACCGGGUAGACAUGGUAGCAAGGACAGAG